RNAcentral lists this long non-coding RNA (574 nucleotides) under Daphnia pulicaria. RNAcentral describes it as "uncharacterized LOC124350367, transcript variant X2". Lineage: Eukaryota; Metazoa; Arthropoda; Branchiopoda; Diplostraca; Daphniidae. The record is from RNAcentral.
CAUCUAUGGAGAUUAGCAAUAGAUGGCGCGUAAUUGUUGUGUGUCUCCUAAUGGCGGUUUGUUGUCAUGAAAACGGUUCGCUGUUUUCAUUCAAUUUGCAGAAAUAUCGUAGUGAAUGUAAAGAAACAGGAAACUCAAAAGUCUCAACUCUCUGUUUGCCGAAUUUGCUCAUGGUCUGCUUAGCAAUAUUUUUCAAGAGAUGCAGGUUCAACAUGAUUAUCUGUUUAUUAUUGAAGAUUUAUCGAUAAACAUGAUGUUGAUAACUAUUGUCGUGUAGCAUGUUUCUAAUGCCAUUAAACAGGCAGAUGGACCAGCAUUAUUCUUAAGUUUUCCAAAAAUUCACUAGUCAGCAUCAUCAUGUGGACUGGACAUACUGGAUGAUCAGGACUAGAAAUCUUCACAUUCUUAAAAAACCUGAUGAGCAUCACCAAAAAAGAGACUUGGUUGUUGAUCUGACUUUUCCUAUUCGUCCUUGAAGCGAAAAAUCGAGCAAAAAAAAGCGAAAAAAACAAACAAACACACAUUUAACGCUCUAUUCAUCCCCGUCUGAAUGAUCGGUAAAACUGAUCGGUAA